UCAGGGGUUCUACCCCUGCCUCCCUCAUACUUGUCACAAUAUGUGGCUGGUCUUAGUUGACCAUCUCCCCUUACCCCUUACCCCUUCCUCCCUCGUACUUGCCACAAUAUGUGGCUAAUCUUAAUUGACCGUCGCUCCCGUCGUCUACAUGUUCCGGGAAUUGGGGCUAAAUUACAGAGGCUAUUAAUUAUUUUCAGGUUCGCCUUCGGGAUUCAAAGUCUUUGCCGGCUUGCCCUUCAUGGAAUCAGGAGAGAUCUGGUUUGGAGAUUGCCCCUUUGGACUUCAUCUCGCGGUUGCCUGAUUCCGUGAUUCAUCACAUUUUAUCUUAUCUGCGUGCCAGAGAUGUUACCUCUACUGCAAUAUUGUCAAAGACUUGGAAUCGCACCUGGUCCACUUAUCCUUAUCUUGUAUUCCACUUUUUCUAUGAUAAUUCAGUCACAGAACAAGAGCAAGUUCUUGGUGACUUGCAUAUAAAAAAGCGAAAACAUGAUUUCUUGAUUCUUGCUGGAAAUUCCAUUUGUCGGCGCUUGCAACUAGAUUUUUGCGUACAAAGAUUUCAAUUGUAUAUUGACUUCCCUGAUAUGGAGUUGUUGAUGCCUAAUAUGGACCAAUGGAUUGGUAUAGCAGUAGACAGGACUGCUCCAGAACUUGCUGUUUGCAUUGAUAGUUUGUCGGGCUCAGAUAGACAUUUUUAGCGUUCCGCAAUCGGUUUUGCUCGCUAGCUCGCUAAAAGUUUUAAGCUUAUGUGGUUGUAGAUUUGAGAGUGGAUUGGAUAUCAAACUUCCACAUCUACAGAAGUUUUCUUUAUCUCAUUCUUGUUUCACCGACAAGUUUUUAUUUCACCAAAUUCUCUCUGGGUGCCCCGUGAUAGAGUAUGUGAAAGUGUCAUUUUGUAAAUGGAUGGACACACUUCUCUCAGUUUCAAGUUUAUCUCACUUGAAGUAUUUUGAGUUCCUGUACUGUGAUGGGAUUGAUACUGUUCAGAUAGAUGUGUCUGAUCUUCAUACUUUUUCGUUUGCACCAUCCUUGGGAAACUGGCCCAGAAGUGUUAACCUGGCUACUUGCAAAGCACUGAAGGAGUUGAAACUCAGUGGGGCAGGUGACACAACUAACUUUGGGCACCAGGCGCUGACAUUUCAAAUCCAGGCCCUUGAAGCCUUAGAGUUUCGAAGUUGCCAUGGGUUGGGGAGUAUCAGAAUUUCAAGCCAAAGGCUUCAGAGACUGGCCUUUAGAGAUUGUCGCACUUUUCAGGUGCUGAAAUUGACACUCCAAAUUUAGAGUUUUUUUAAUGCUGCAACUGUGACAAUCCUUUCAUUCCCAUCAAAGCCUCUGAUGAUAUCAAGAUACACUUAAGAUUUUCCCUUAGUGGAAAAACGGUUGAUUGGGUGGUUAAACCGAAUCAAUUUUUGUCGAGUUAAGAUUUUUUCAGGAUCUCAAGUUUAUCGUCUAUCAUCAUUCUAAGGUACACUCUUUUCUAUUCCUAUUCAGCUUUGGUGAUCUUUAGUAGUUUUAUCCUCUUCUUUCCUUAGAAUGCUAUUGACUUCUUGAGAAUGAAGAAGUGCAUGUGCACAGCUAUGCUUUUAAGCGCAUAUUGCAUUUUCAUUUUUGGAGCCUAUUUUCAUAGGUUUCUGGGGAUCAGAUACCUCCAGUCACAUGUUCCUGCAUGGAUCUCUGCAUAACAGAUAUGUUAUACCAGUUUGGUAGUAUUUGAGUCUCUCUUGGAUGCAAAAGAAAAAGGAUGAAUGCAUACUGCUAUGUACUUUCUAAUUGCCUUGAAUCCAUCUGUACAGAUGAGAAAAGUAUGUUAUUCACCUUUUACUUUCUUAGACUUGAACUUCAGAGAAAUGUGUCUUUUUGAAACAUUAGAUUAUUCCUAUUUUAUUGUCUUUGAUCUCGAUUUUUCAACUUGAUGCUUAGUUCCUUGAAGGCAAUUUUUAAAUAGGGACCAUUGUGGUCAUCUUGCAUCA
Coffea arabica (coffee) is the source of this 1967-nucleotide RNA transcript. It is a transcript of the gene named F-box/LRR-repeat protein At3g26922-like, with no coding region annotated. The record is from RefSeq and is a predicted model, not a curated record. NCBI's taxonomy places the organism in Eukaryota, Viridiplantae, Streptophyta, Magnoliopsida, Gentianales, Rubiaceae.